AUGGGGGAAUGUGAUGGAUAUGUUGGUGAAGAUGACGGAGGUGUUGGUGUAGAUCGCGGUGAUGAUGAUGGCCCUAGCAGCGUUCCGGCGCCACCGGGAGAGAGUGGGAGAGAGCGCCCCUUCUUCUUCUUCAUUGACCUUCUCCCUAGAUGGGAGAAGGGUUUCCCCUCUGGUCCUUGGCUUCCAUGGCAUUGGAGGGGCGAGAGCCCCUCCGAGAUUGGAUCUGUCUCUUUGUCUCUCUCUGUUUCUGCGCUCCCAGAUUUUACCCUUUCACCGUUUCUUAUAUUCCCGGAGAUCCGUAACUUCUAUUGGAUUGAAACUUUGAACACGAUUUGUUUUUCGGAUAUUAGCUUUUUUGCGGCGAAAGAAGGGCAACAACCGCCUUUACGAGGUGUCCACGAGGGUCAGGGGCGCACCCACCCCCCUGGGGCGCGCCCCCUGCCUCCUGGGACCCUCGAGCAUCGUCUCGCGUUGAUUCCACUUCCCAAAAUUCAUAAAUAUUCCAAAAAUAAUCUCCGUCAGUUUUUAUCCCGUUUGGACUCCGUUUGA
RNAcentral lists this ribosomal RNA (549 nucleotides) under Triticum aestivum (bread wheat). RNAcentral's name for it is "partial small subunit ribosomal RNA". Lineage: Eukaryota; Viridiplantae; Streptophyta; Magnoliopsida; Poales; Poaceae. The record is from RNAcentral.